This 1144-nucleotide long non-coding RNA is filed under the name Homo sapiens (human). RNAcentral's name for it is "HSALNT0180035". Lineage: Eukaryota; Metazoa; Chordata; Mammalia; Primates; Hominidae. The record is from RNAcentral.
CACAUCCCUUUACUCAUGCAUUUCUGUUUGCCUCAGCCAUGAUGUUCCUGGAUUUCACAAAGAGGGAGUUGUUUCUUGCACAGAGCAGUUCUGUGAGUCAGUGUGAAAAGAACUACCUGCCAUAUCACCUCCCACUAUCUUAGAGAGGAGAGUCAACUUUGAUCAAAGAGAGAGAGGAAGAAAUGAUCAAUCAAGUGUCACUAUGGCAUGCCUGGGUCCAUCAAGUGUCGUUAUUUGUCCCAGAAAAAGUUACUUCCUCCUUCCUGAGACCUAGCUGAGUUGUCACCUUCCUUGUUUGCGAAGAUUCCUGGGAACCCUUAAGGGGAAGACUCAAGAAAAAUAAAGAUACCCAGGGUAAUUCCAAACCAGACUUGAAAGCAGAAACUGAAAGCAGAGAAAACCACUACAUUUAAGAUGGUGGCUUAACGAUAGCAGUGGAAAAGAAACAGCAUGCAUUGGGCAUAGAUAUCACAUUCUUCCAAGAACUUCGUUGGAGGACAGUUUCUCCGUGGGACUCUCACUUUCUGAACAUCUUGCAAUUAGAGACGCUGACUUCUUUUGUUCUGAAAUAUAUUUUCAAGGAUUCUGCAUGGAAAGUAGCCCUGAAAUACACAGAAUGUACCUUCUUUGAGGCACUGACUUCUUUUGCUUUGAAAUAUCUUUUUCAAGGAUUCUGCAUAGAAAGUAGCCUUGAAAGAUACAGAAUUUACCUCCAGCAACAGGGUAGGCAUGCUUACUGUGCAUUGUAAUGGAUUUCAGUUCCCUGGUUUCAGAGUUCUUCUCUUGUCAUGUGGCUCAUGUGCAGGUGUCACCUGGCCUUCUUCACAUCACCCUGUGGAAAAUGGGGCUCAAGGAACUGCCACAAAAAAUUGAUACUCUGCCUAUUGCUGUCAAUCUGAGUAAUAAAAUUCUUUGUUUCCAACCCAGGAGUUCUGUCAGCAUCUAUGAAACUGUAGCAGGCUAAUGUAUUAACUUACAAGUAGGAUAAAAUCUCAACCCUUCACAGUUCCUGAUAAUUUCCAGACAUUAUGAUUUUUUAUGCUGUCAGUAGGAAUAUUAGGUAGAUGAAAACUUGGGAGCUAAAAUGUCUUCUCUAUCAACAUUUAGAAAUCGUUAAACAUACCUCUCCCUCCUCCUCAUUCCC